GAGAGGCAUACUCUGUAUAGAAAUGAAUAUAAAUGGGGAAUUUGCCUGAUAAUAUGAUUGUGUUGCAAACCAGUAGGUCAACUCUCCACAACCUGACACAUACCAGAUUUGUGGGGACUGAGUUCAGUUUUGGGAGUUAUAGUUCUAGCACAUCUACAUAUGUCAGAUUGGGGAAGGAAGCAGGAAAUUAUUUUUCCAACCUCAACUUCUAUGUUCAAGCUUUCUCUUUAGCAUGUGCAAUUUCUGUUACAUUUGCACAUGAGAGCAAUUUUAAAUCAUCCCAUGUAAAACUGUAGUGAAUAAAACUAUUACAAACUAA
Candoia aspera is the source of this 319-nucleotide long non-coding RNA. RefSeq lists it as uncharacterized. The transcript has 2 exons. The record is from RefSeq and is a predicted model, not a curated record. Lineage: Eukaryota; Metazoa; Chordata; Lepidosauria; Squamata; Candoiidae.